Molecule: long non-coding RNA, 224 nt
Filed under: Brassica rapa (field mustard)
Lineage: Eukaryota; Viridiplantae; Streptophyta; Magnoliopsida; Brassicales; Brassicaceae
Description: long non-coding RNA (BRAP_LNC005227)
Source: RNAcentral
GUCAGUAGGCUUUUCCAUUAUUUGAGCAAGGCGCCAGCUCUCCACCUCGGAUUUGGCCAGUUGGACCGUCUCAAGUAGGGUGGUGUCUUUGCCGUUAAAAGCUUUAUCGUUACGAGCUUUCCAGAUGUACCAUAUCACCCACGGAGCUGUAGUUAGGAGUGUGUCGGGGAUCCCACGCUCCUGAGCGCACCAUAGAACAUGGUCUAGAUUAAUGUAUAUUGAGG